Molecule: ribosomal RNA, 253 nt
Filed under: uncultured bacterium
Lineage: Bacteria
Description: partial 16S ribosomal RNA
Rfam family: Bacterial small subunit ribosomal RNA
Source: RNAcentral
UACGUAGGGGGCAAGCGUUGUCCGGAUUUAUUGGGCGUAAAGAGCGUGUAGGCGGCCAGACAGGUCCGUUGUGAAAACUCGAGGCUCAACCUCGAGACGCCGAUGGAAACCGUCUGGCUAGAGUCCGGAAGAGGAGAGUGGAAUUCCUGGUGUAGCGGUGAAAUGCGCAGAUAUCAGGAAGAACACCAAUGGCGAAAGCAGCUCUCUGGGACGGUACUGACGCUGAGACGCGAAAGCGUGGGGAGCGAACAGG